This 479-nucleotide ribosomal RNA is filed under the name uncultured soil bacterium. Its description in RNAcentral is "bacterial SSU rRNA". It matches the Rfam family "Bacterial small subunit ribosomal RNA", at positions 26 to 490 of the family's 1533-position model. The record is from RNAcentral.
AGAGCGAACGUUAGCGGCGGGCUUAACACAUGCAAGUCGAGCGAGAAAGGGGCUUCGGCCCCGAGUACAGCGGCGGACGGGUGAAUAACACGUAGGUAACCUUCCUUCCAGCGGGGGACAACGGUCCGAAAGGACCGCUAAUACCGCAUACGUUCUCCGGGACCUCGGUCCUGGGGAGGAAAGCCUCGCAAGGGGCACUGGAUGAGGGGCCUGCGUAGCAUCAGCUAGUUGGUGGGGUAAUGGCCUACCAAGGCGAAGACGCUUAGCUGGUCUGAGAGGAUGAUCAGCCACACUGGGACUGAGACACGGCCCAGACUCCUACGGGAGGCAGCAGUGGGGGAAUAGUUAGGACAAUGGGACGAAAGCCUGAUCCAGCCACGCCGCGUGAGUGAUAGAGGUCCGUCGGUACGUAAGCUCGUGUGGGAGGACGAAGUAACGCCGUAGAACGAACGGCGUCGUCGACGGUACCUUACCGUACG